This is a non-coding RNA of Lolium perenne, 3512 nucleotides long. The record is from RefSeq and is a predicted model, not a curated record. NCBI's taxonomy places the organism in Eukaryota, Viridiplantae, Streptophyta, Magnoliopsida, Poales, Poaceae.
UAGAGGCAAGAAACCCUAAAUCCCAUCUCGCCGCCGUCUCAAGAUGGAGCGCAUCUCCUGCCAUGCCGACCUCCGAGCCCUGCAGGACCGCUCCGAUAGGCGCAUGUUUCUAAACCUCGUCUCUCUCGAGUCCGUGAGCAUAGCGAGCGACUCGUAUGCACUCCUCCGCAACCUGGUGGUUGAGCGGAGGAACUGGCGAUGCUCCGACAUGGAUAUGGAUUUCCUCUCGCUCGUGGCAAGCGUGGCGGCGGAGCUCCACAAGAUGAAGCUUGCUCUGUCUCCCCUCCUUGAUCGGGAGGCCAAGCCGGGAGAGGCCUUCCCGAAAGACCUCCUAUUACUCAAGAACUCGGCACUUGCACUCUUAAGUCUGUGGGAGGACGCUAAUGAAAUAGUCAAAAAAUGUCUUGGAUCGCUUGCUGAGCAGGAUGUUUUCUUAGGCCAUGCUGAAGCCGUGGGCGCAGUGCUAGAGGAUUCCGUUAGUCAGGUACUGAGAGGUCAGCGCAACUUUGCCUGGCUUCAGGGACGUGUCCCGACUUUCCUCAAAGAGGUCGACCUUCUGUUGUCGACUCGGGUUUGUUUCCCUUAUUCUGACUAGUAGACUAUCAGCUGUUUCUUGCCAGCUCGUCACUGUUGUGAUGAGUAUUUUUUAGGAAGCUCUCAAAUGUUUCUAUGUGUAUUUCUUGGAGUGGCAACACCCUUUAUGUUUGGAUGAUGUUGAUGGAUUUUGAAUCAUGUGUAUUAUUAUGGUGCUGUUUUCUCAUUCUGUGCUAGGGUAUAACUUGCAAUUACUUUCGGUUAGGAUGGAAUGCCAGCUCCACCACCAUUCUGUGCAACGGCAGCUCCACAGAUAUUACGGAAAAAUUAAUUCAUUACGAAAACAUGGAGGUAUUCUCUCUUUUGGGGAAUUAACUCUUAACAAAGAUGCACAGUUCCCUCAAAACUUUUACCACUGCUACGUCACCGAAAUUAAUUUCGGCUGCCGGAUCCUCCCAUGGAUGGCCGCGACAGCAUCUUGCUACUUUGCCGUGUCGAGUAUAUAACCGACUCCCUUGUUUCCGUAAAAAAAACUCAUCGCUUCCCAUCUCUUUCUCUCGGACUCGCCCGACGCUAGGCGACAAGGCCAACGGCGUGGGGUCGUCGGGCGGCAGCGCGGCGGCCGCCCUCGGGGCGUCGGCCGCUGUCCUUCUCCUUCUCCAUGCCCACUUGCGCCGCUAGCGCGAGCCAGCAGCAUCCCCCACCGGUUGCGCUUCCCAAAUCCCUGCACCAAUGACCGGCGAUCUGCUGUUGCACGGUGCUGCCGUCGUCAACCUAGGGUUAGGUCUCUCCGUCACCAGGCCAAGACCUAUCGCACCGGCACGGUUCGGCACGGAGGACGACCUCUCCCGGUGCGGGAUACCUCCAUCGCGAGCAGCCCCAGACCAAGCUCCAAUCACAACAUCAGGAGUAGCCACCUCUGCUCGCGGGGUUGCAGAUCUGGUUUUGAUGUUCUUCUACUGAAAAAAUGAGCGGGUGACCUGGUUGCCAUGGCCGAAUUUGGGAGAUGAGCACGAGCCAAAGGCAACAUGGUCUUAAAAGAUUGUAUAUGGACUCGGUCUUCACUCUUCAGUCUCCCCCGAUUUUUACAGCCCUCAGCUGAGUAGUUAGUUAAUGAUUCAUGUUUACCAAUGCAUCCCAUUCCCAUCUAAGGUAAGUCUUGACUAUUUUCCCUGAUUCAUUUUUUCCCUAACUUUUCUACUCUCUUUAUCCUAAAUUGUAAGUCAUUUUGCCUUUCCUAUAGGUACAUAGCUUUUGCUAUGCACCUAAUUGUAUCUGCAAAAGCCAAAAAGACUUACAAUUAGAAACAGUGCGAGUACUUCUUUUAUAGAAAGGUGGAACCUGAAGCUGAACCAGCCCCUGUGAUACCUCGUUAUCCAAAAUCAUACAUAGAGGUCAGUUAUCUAUCUAAAAUGUGAGUAAAAUGGCUGCAAGUGCCUUACACUGCUGCAGACUACUGCAUAUAUGAUAUCUGAAGAUGUCUGUGAAGUGUUCAUUUCGUUUAUAGCUCCAUCUCUAUGUAAUUAAAUUAACUUCAGAAACUAGAACUGUUCUUAACUGCCCAUUGAUGCUUGCUACACGAUUUUAGUAGUCCUGUUUAGCAUGAUGUUGGUUCUCAAUGAUUAACUUACCUGAAACAUAUAUUAAUGAUGGCACUGAUUGUUCACCAGGUGAACACAAGUGAACUCUGUUUUCGAACGGCCAGAGGGCAGCUUGGCCAUAGGCUGCCUAUUCCAUUGUAUAGGAAACAAACUUGGGAUACAGCUCUCAACCACUACAGCAAAGUCAAGAUGCAUAAAGAAGAUGCUACUUAUCUUUAGGCUUAGAAACGGCUGAAAACAACUUGACAGUAAACAGUAAAUAGCUAAUUAGUUCACUAGAUACAUAGAGCAGCACUAAGCUUAUCUUUCAUUGAUUGAUUAAAUUAAGUUUCAUUUUUAGAUCUAACCAAUGCAGGAUUCAAUUGCCGAUGAAGACUUUGAAUCUGGUGAUGGCACUGAGGAUGAUGAAAUCAGUCCGUCUCCAUUGCCUUAAGAACAUAAAGCUAAAAGGCAGGCUAAGCCACCCUACCAUUCCAGUCAAUAUAUUUCAUUACAGGUUUAUGUCGUACCUAAGCAAGCUAUAGAUUCUAUGAUGGGUCCAGCUUAUUGAAAACAAUAUUCAGGCCUAAAAAUGAUGAAUCCAGCUUCCAUGGAAAGAACAAGUAUGGAAAAUCUGCUUCAACAAAGAACGCAAAAUAGGUACCGUUUGUUAGUGAUGUUGUCUCAUUUUUGAGCAUUCAUAACAUCCUAUAUCUAUGUCUGCUCCGGCCUCUAUAUGUAUAUGCACCCCUCUCAAGAAUUUUGUUAUCUUUAUCUGUACGGGGGAAGCAUGAAACAUUUGGAGAAGACGAACAGGAGCCGCCGCCGAUGGAGAAUCCCAGCAGAACAGCGAUCUGCAAGAGAGAAUGAGCGGUCAAUUGUAAAAGAAAAGAACGUGUGGCCACGGUUGCCUCCUAGAGUGGCCACAAUAGCAAAAGAGAUAUUGGCCAUUGGAUGGCUCCCGGGCGGCCAGGAUCCGCGUUGACUGAGCGUCCGGCUGGAGCCGGCCAGGGGCCUGCUGACGCGUGGGGUUCUGGCUGCCUCGGGGCUGCCGCCCUGUCCCUCUGCGGGUGGACUCGUGUGUCCUGCUUGGGGUUCUUGGCCCUGUGUGACGGCGUCAGCGGCAAGAGCUCGGCGUGCGGAGCGGAUGGUGCCAACGAGCUGCGUGCGUAUGGGGUUGGAGCCCUGCCAUCGCCCCAUGCUAUCGUCACGUGAUUGGCCAACUCUUUUCAUUGUCGUUCCUCACUCUCUUUCAUCAUUCCUCGAAAGAGAGGAUAUUGUGUUUUUCCUGUAUCUUAUAGUCGCCAUAGAGUGAAAGAAAGCAAUGUUUAAAUGAAUCCCAAAGAAUGCCAGCUUUCUCAUUACGGUCCAGCGCAAUGGAACCAUCAUCCCUGGAAA